UAGUCUCUUCAGUAUAUCUGAGUGUGUGAAUGUGUGUGUGUGUGUGUGUGUGUGUGUGUAAGACCAUGCGAUGUUGUGCCUUUUGCCCUCUCCGGCCAAUCCCGAUGCUGGUCGUCAACGCGCAAGCGCCCGAUAUCCACCUGCUGGGCGGGGUUUCAAAAUUCUUAUGAUAGAAGCCGUGCCGCAGCUGACCGUCUCCAGCACAACGCAUUCGGUAUACUAAUGCAGGCUAUAGUCUUUACGAUGCACAGGGCUUCGAUGUCGCUCUUCCUUAUUGAUAUUACGAAAUCCCAUCUUUGACUCGGAGUUUUGUUGUUGCAAAAAAAUGUUGACCCUUCCCGUUAUUGACACAUUGGCCGCGAUAAGAGCAAAUAAGACCAGAACAAGACAGAUAACAAGGUGUUUCAUUUCGAUUGGCGAGUUGGUGUUAUUAGGUUACAGCUUUUGGUGCUGCACAACGGCAAACGCAGUCAUUGUAAGGUCAACAUGACACGUACUCGUUCUGCACUGUGCACAGUAUGUGUCCAUGAUAUUUCGUCUUAUUUCUCCCCCGAUUAUUUUUUUUUUAGCGCGAUGCGGCUUCUUCCCAAAAAAAAAAAAAAAAAAAUGCAAAUGUUGUCACUUGAAGGACACUGUACAUGCUGCUAACUACCCUCUUCCAGACCUAUCACCAUUUUCAUUAAUAAACUUGUGGCUGGCAUUGCGGAGACUUGCGUGCAAACUUUGAAUAAAUGCGGCCCCCUCCUGUUA
Molecule: long non-coding RNA, 750 nt
Organism: Daphnia magna
Lineage: Eukaryota; Metazoa; Arthropoda; Branchiopoda; Diplostraca; Daphniidae
Exons: 3
Source: RefSeq, a predicted model, not a curated record